Molecule: ribosomal RNA, 484 nt
Filed under: uncultured bacterium
Lineage: Bacteria
Description: partial 16S ribosomal RNA
Rfam family: Bacterial small subunit ribosomal RNA
Source: RNAcentral
UUGAACGCUGGCGGCAUGCCUUACACCUGCAAGUCGAACGGCAGCGGGCCCUUCGGGGUGCCGGCGAGUGGCGAACGGGUGAGUAAUGCAUCGGAACGUACCCGGGAGAGGGGGAUAACCGGCCGAAAGGCUGGCUAAUACCGCAUGAACUCGGAAGAGCAAAGCGGGGGACCUUCGGGCCUCGCGCUCUCGGAGCGGCCGAUGUCCGAUUAGGCUAGUUGGUGGGGUAAAGGCCCACCAAGGCGACGAUCGGUAGCGGGUCUGAGAGGACGAUCCGCCACACUGGGACUGAGACACGGCCCAGACUCCUACGGGAGGCAGCAGUGGGGAAUCUUGGACAAUGGGCGCAAGCCUGAUCCAGCAAUGCCGCGUGGGUGAAGAAGGCCUUCGGGUUGUAAAGCCCUUUCGGCGGGGAAGAAAUCGGUCAGGCGAAUAGUCUGGCCGGAUGACGGUACCCGCAGAAGAAGCACCGGCUAACUACGUG